This 505-nucleotide ribosomal RNA is filed under the name uncultured bacterium. RNAcentral describes it as "partial 16S ribosomal RNA". It matches the Rfam family "Bacterial small subunit ribosomal RNA", at positions 28 to 507 of the family's 1533-position model. The record is from RNAcentral.
GACGAACGCUGGCGGCGUGCCUAAUACAUGCAAGUAGAACGCACAGUUUAUACCGUAGCUUGCUACACCAUAGACUGUGAGUUGCGAACGGGUGAGUAACGCGUAGGUAACCUGCCUGGUAGCGGGGGAUAACUAUUGGAAACGAUAGCUAAUUCCGCAUAAUAUUAAUUAUUGCAUGAUAAUUAAUUGAAAGGUGCAAUUGCACCACUACCAGAUGGACCUGCGUUGUAUUAGCUAGUAGGUGAGGUAACGGCUCACCUAGGCGACGAUACAUAGCCGACCUGAGAGGGUGAUCGGCCACACUGGGACUGAGACACGGCCCAGACUCCUACGGGAGGCAGCAGUAGGGAAUCUUCGGCAAUGGACGAAAGUCUGACCGAGCAACGCCGCGUGAGUGAAGAAGGUUUUCGGAUCGUAAAGCUCUGUUGUAAGAGAAGAACGGGUGUGAGAGUGGAAAGUUCACACUGUGACGGUAGCUUACCAGAAAGGGACGGCUAACUACGUG